GGGCCUGCCCAGUGAUAUUUCAACGGCCGCGGUACUCUGACCGUGCAAAGGUAGCAUAAUCAUUUGCCCUAUAAUUAAGGGCUAGUAUGAACGGUCUAACAAGAAUGGAACUGUCUCUUUUAAAAUCCUUAGAACUUGGUCUUUAGGUGAAGAAACCUAAAUUAUAUUGAUAGACAAGAAGACCCUAUCGAGCUUUAAAACAAUUAGUUAAACAAAUAGAUAACACUAACUUUAGCUAAAAAUUUUGGUUGGGGCGACUAAGGAACAAACAAAGCUUCCUUAAUAAAUUCUACACUAAUAAGUAAUGAUCCAAAAUAUUUGAUUAAUAAAAUUAGUUACCGUAGGGAUAACAGCAUAAUCUUCUUCAAGAGUUCUUAUCGAAAAGAAUGUUUGUGACCUCGAUGUUGGACUAGGAUAUCCAAAAGAUGCAGAAGUCUUUAAAGGUUGGUCUGUUCGACCAAUAAAAUCCUACGUGAUCUAUCU
RNAcentral lists this ribosomal RNA (483 nucleotides) under Bithynia siamensis siamensis. Its description in RNAcentral is "partial large subunit ribosomal RNA". It matches the Rfam family "Bacterial large subunit ribosomal RNA", at positions 1854 to 2610 of the family's 2925-position model. Lineage: Eukaryota; Metazoa; Mollusca; Gastropoda; Littorinimorpha; Bithyniidae. The record is from RNAcentral.